Molecule: long non-coding RNA, 469 nt
Organism: Fukomys damarensis (Damara mole-rat)
Lineage: Eukaryota; Metazoa; Chordata; Mammalia; Rodentia; Bathyergidae
Exons: 3
Source: RefSeq, a predicted model, not a curated record
GGGACUCACCCAGCCCCCUGCCUGCCUUCUCCUCCCCAGCCGAACCUUCCUUCCGCCUCCACCUCCAGGGCUGGAGAGGAAGGCAGAGUCGCUGAGACAGAUAAAAAGCCAACUGGAAAUUCAGGGACAGACACAAAGCCGGGAUUGUUGGAAGGGUCCGCAGUCUGGAGUGGGCACUAACAAUGGAGCUGUUCUUAGGCACUGGACCCCCAUCACCACGUGAAGGGACAACUUCCUCUGCUGUAGUGGCACCACCUGAUGUCAGCUCGCUAAAUCUCAUCUUCUGUGAAGGAAGAAAAGAGCUCGUCCAUAUCACCCAUCCAACCACCACACCUUAAAGGCCUGGGCUAGGCUGUAAAUAGUAACUCCCAGUUUUCAAGGACCUACCACUAGUGCCCGUGAGUUAUAGCAUCGAUCCAGAGAGAUACGGGCAAAGACCAUCUGAAAUAAAUGGCCGUCCACACGAAGC